RNAcentral lists this long non-coding RNA (479 nucleotides) under Homo sapiens (human). Its description in RNAcentral is "HSALNT0324245". Lineage: Eukaryota; Metazoa; Chordata; Mammalia; Primates; Hominidae. The record is from RNAcentral.
CACCCGAGGGCGCGCUGGGCGGGCGGCGGCGGCAGACCACGUAGCCAGCCUGUAAGCCACAGCGGACGCAGGGGGCCGCAGCGGGUGCUCAGCCCUAGGGCCGAGCGGGAGAUGUGCGGCGAGUGCAGAAGGGCGGACCCGGGAUGUCCCGGGUUUUCGAGCGGGGAGCCGCCUGCUGAAUGCCCUUCUGCUGCCCUCCGUUCCCGCGGCUCCCCUAGGAGCCCCGCCCCGUCCAACUCUUACCCGGGCUCAUCGCCGCGGCUCAUCUCUCUCGCAACCGCCGCCGCACGCACCCGCUCCGCCGCCCCGCGCAGGGCAUCCUGUCGCCAGCGCAUCCCUCAGAGGAGUUUCAGCAUUUGGGGAUUUGAACGGCCCAUGACCAAUAUUGUGAAAGGACUUUUGUUUGCUGCAAUGAAAAGAAGACUCCUAUUUUUCAAUAAUGAAUUAACCUAAACAUGUAUUAAAAUAUGCUCAUGAAA